Molecule: long non-coding RNA, 467 nt
Filed under: Homo sapiens (human)
Lineage: Eukaryota; Metazoa; Chordata; Mammalia; Primates; Hominidae
Description: non-protein coding lnc-ECHDC3-5:1
Source: RNAcentral
GCUGGUGUCCGAGGGAUCAUUUAGGACCCCUUCAUAAUGAGAAACAAAAGCAGACACAGCAGGGCCUCAGCUGGCAACACCUCUGAACUGAGCCUGCACUCAGGAGGCUGCCACUCCAUUCUCACGCCAUUCACACUCGUCUCGCCACCCCUGCUUGGUGUCUGUUCUGAGAAGCACAGGAAUACCCGAGGUGAGGCACAAUGACAGUCCUCCACUGUUAAGCUAUAGCCUAAUUCAUAUCUUACAUGUGUCCUUUUAAUUGAAGAGGCGAAGUUGGCCAAAUAGAAGCACAAGUGGAGUAAACAGAACAUUCCCCACCUGCUCUGUUAGGGCAGUAGCGUUGCUGGGCGUGUGGAGGUCACUCUGCUGCCGGAUUCUCUGGUGUUUCCAGGCAGCCUUACCUUAGCUGUCCUCCAUUCUCAUUAGACUUCUUACCUAUUUUUUCAGUUAGCCAUCCUUGCUGUUUU